Molecule: ribosomal RNA, 253 nt
Filed under: uncultured bacterium
Lineage: Bacteria
Description: partial 16S ribosomal RNA
Rfam family: Bacterial small subunit ribosomal RNA
Source: RNAcentral
UACGUAGGGUGCAAGCGUUGUCCGGAAUUAUUGGGCGUAAAGAGCUCGUAGGCGGUUUGUUGCGUCGGCUGUGAAAUCCCGAGGCUCAACCUCGGGUCUGCAGUCGAUACGGGCGGACUGGAGUUCGGCAGGGGAGACUGGAAUUCCUGGUGUAGCGGUGAAAUGCGCAGAUAUCAGGAGGAACACCAGCGGCGAAGGCGGCAUCCUGGACUGGUCCUGACACUCAGGAGCGAAAGCGUGGGGAGCGAUCCGG